GACGAACGCUGGCGGCGUGCUUAACACAUGCAAGUCGAGCGGUAAGGCCCUUUCGGGGUACGACGAGCGGCGAACGGGUGAGUAACACGUGGGUGACCUGCCCUCCAGCUCUGGGAUAAGCCUGGGAAACCGGGUCUAAUACUGGAUAUGACUCCAUGACGCAUGUUGUGGGGUGGAAAGCCUUGUGCGGCUGAGGAUGGGCCCGCGGCCUAUCAGCUUGUUGGUGGGGUGAUGGCCUACCAAGGCGACGACGGGUAGCCGGCCUGAGAGGGCGACCGGCCACACUGGGACUGAGACACGGCCCAGACUCCUACGGGAGGCAGCAGUGGGGAAUCUUGCGCAAUGGGCGAAAGCCUGACGCAGCGACGCCGCGUGAGGGAUGAC
This 384-nucleotide ribosomal RNA is filed under the name uncultured bacterium. RNAcentral's name for it is "bacterial SSU rRNA". It matches the Rfam family "Bacterial small subunit ribosomal RNA", at positions 28 to 412 of the family's 1533-position model. The record is from RNAcentral.